AAGCGGAGGAAAAGAAACCAACAGGGAUUGCCUCAGUAACGGCGAGUGAAGCGGCAAAAGCUCAAAUUUGAAAUCUAGCACCUUCGGUGUUCGAGUUGUAAUUUGAAGAUGGCAACCUUGGGUUUGGCUCUUGUCUAUGUUCCUUGGAACAGGACGUCAUAGAGGGUGAGAAUCCCGUCUGAUGAGAUGCCCAUUCCUUUGUAAGGUGCUAUCGAAGAGUCGAGUUGUUUGGGAAUGCAGCUCUAAGUGGGUGGUAAAUUCCAUCUAAAGCUAAAUAUUGGCGAGAGACCGAUAGCGAACAAGUACAGUGAUGGAAAGAUGAAAAGAACUUUGAAAAGAGAGUGAAAAAGUACGUGAAAUUGUUGAAAGGGAAGGGCAUUAGAUCAGACUUGGUGUUUUAUGAUUAUCUUCUCUUCUUGAGUUGUGCACUCGUAUUUCACUGGGCCAGCAUCGAUUCGGAUGGCAAGAUAAUGACAGUUGAAUGUGGCUUCAUUCGUGGAGUGUUAUAGCUUCUGUUGAUAUUGCCUGUCUGGAUCGAGGGCUGCGUCUUUGACUAGGAUGCUGGCGUAAUGAUCUAAUGCCGCCCGUCUUGA
RNAcentral lists this ribosomal RNA (593 nucleotides) under Wickerhamomyces sp. NRRL Y-10997. RNAcentral describes it as "eukaryotic LSU rRNA". It matches the Rfam family "Eukaryotic large subunit ribosomal RNA", at positions 48 to 657 of the family's 3401-position model. Lineage: Eukaryota; Fungi; Ascomycota; Saccharomycetes; Phaffomycetales; Wickerhamomycetaceae. The record is from RNAcentral.